RNAcentral lists this small nuclear RNA (20 nucleotides) under Arabidopsis thaliana (thale cress). RNAcentral describes it as "snRNA_19015". Lineage: Eukaryota; Viridiplantae; Streptophyta; Magnoliopsida; Brassicales; Brassicaceae. The record is from RNAcentral.
ACAAUACACCCUCCAAUUAC